Molecule: long non-coding RNA, 584 nt
Organism: Tigriopus californicus
Lineage: Eukaryota; Metazoa; Arthropoda; Copepoda; Harpacticoida; Harpacticidae
Exons: 2
Source: RefSeq, a predicted model, not a curated record
GCUCCAGACCAUAGAGGAAACAUAGUCGAGGUAAUCCUGCCACCUGGCGACCAGACUUGGCCUCAACGUCAGCUGUUGUUAUGAUUUGGUUUUGGGUGUGCAUAGAGACCAACCUCGAGACUAAAACAGGAAUGGAUGGCCUGGCAAACUUUGACUAAGCAUUUAUUGGUUGAUUUAUGUUCUCAUUAACUAAGAGGCAAUGAUUUAUGCUGAGUUACGUUUGUGGAAGCAAAUUGGUCUUUAAUAUAUGCCCAGGAACUAUUUCUCUAUUUGAAACAAAAGUUCAGCUUUUGGUGGAAAAAAUAGUGUCAUUUUCAGGUUUGAUUCACCACUACGUAUCCAAAAGAUGGUGCUUGGGUCCAAAGGGAUGCCAAAAAACUGAGGUUGUGAUUAUAUCCCAGAGAGAAGUAUAAAUAUCAAGGACUUUGUGCAAUUGCGGCCUCUGGUCAAACUAUGAAGCAAGUGUCACCACGCCUUUACUGAUGACCAGAUGUUAGCACCAAAUAUUUUAUACAUAUUUAUUGCACAGUUUUGUCACUUGCCAUUUCAUGACAGUUUUAGCAAAUAAAUGUUGGACCACUAUA